UCUGCAAACUAUUAGUCCUAGAGAAAAAGUGACUAGAACCUUUUUUGGCAGGGAAGUGAAUGCAGGUUAAUUUUGUAUUGGGGAAGAAUUUCCCCAGGAUCCGUUGUUUUUGAGUCAUUCAAGAACAAAAAUAAAAAAUUACCUUUAAACCUACCCCCACACCAAUGCUCACACUCCACAGGUCAGGGUUUUUAGUACAAUGUUUGUGACAAUAUAUCCUAGAACUGUGUAAAACUUUGUGACUACGUGACUUUUCCCCUAAUUUUCCUUCAUUGACUGGACUAAAUGUUAGUGUUUGGAACUGACACAGAUAGUGAAGGGCUUCAUCAUCAAAGGCAUUUAGCGACAGCUGUAAACAGAAUGGCAGAAGAACCUUUUGAGAGGACGGAAAAGAAACCCGAGCCUGUCAGCAUUACCUCCCCUGAAAUGUAAGAAACUGGUGGAUUCCAAGACAAAAUUGUGGAAAAUGGAGACAUCUUCAAAUAACAGAAAGAAAUAAAGGCUGAAGAGGCAGGAUCACAGAUGUCAGAUGAAAGUUACCGCAAAAAAGGUUAAGUUGGAAAAGAGUGAAAAUGAAAAUGGAUGCUUGUGCAGUGACUGAAGUUGAAGUCAUAAAUUGAGGAUGAUGAAGCUACACGAAAAAGCUCUCAGCUCUACAGUCCGAGUCUGACCGACUUGUCCGACGAGCCACUGUCGGCGGCACUGCGAUCGCAGGCCCCUCACGGUGUGCGCUUACUCAGGCAAGUGUCGCGGGGAUUUGUUAAUGUAGAGGCUGACUGUACGCUGUAGGUGUCUGCAGACUUCCAUCAUUAGAGGAACAGUUCUAUGAACAGUACAUGCCAUUCUUGGGAGUGUGGACCACUUCGUUGGUUACUCGAGUUCCUCAUCUGACCCCAGAACUGUCAUUUACUGCAGCUAGGCAUUUAGCACUAAUAAAAUGUGAGUUACAUAAAAUGGAAGUGUCCGACAUAUCAGCAGCCGUGAAGAUAUGAAAAUUUAAAGGUAUCUCCAUUUUGAGCAGUACAAACUUUAGAAUUAUUAUUCUAAUUUGUUAAUCCUGUG
This 1062-nucleotide long non-coding RNA is filed under the name Schistocerca americana (American grasshopper). RNAcentral's name for it is "uncharacterized LOC124591663, transcript variant X1". Lineage: Eukaryota; Metazoa; Arthropoda; Insecta; Orthoptera; Acrididae. The record is from RNAcentral.